UGAUUGAAACCAAAAAGAGGUAUAUCAUUGUUAAUGAUAUAAUUGAAAAUAAUUCCAAUCAAA
This 63-nucleotide transfer RNA is filed under the name Dryocoetes autographus. Its description in RNAcentral is "tRNA-Asn". The record is from RNAcentral. Lineage: Eukaryota; Metazoa; Arthropoda; Insecta; Coleoptera; Curculionidae.